CGGACGGGUGAGUAAUGCCUGGGAAAUUGCCCUGAUGUGGGGGAUAACCAUUGGAAACGAUGGCUAAUACCGCAUAACGUCUACGGACCAAAGAGGGGGACCUUCGGGCCUCUCGCUUCAGGAUAUGCCCAGGUGGGAUUAGCUAGUUGGUGAGGUAAUGGCUCACCAAGGCGACGAUCCCUAGCUGGUCUGAGAGGAUGAUCAGCCACACUGGAACUGAGACACGGUCCAGACUCCUACGGGAGGCAGCAGUGGGGAAUAUUGCACAAUGGGCGCAAGCCUGAUGCAGCCAUGCCGCGUGUAUGAAGAAGGCCUUCGGGUUGUAAAGUACUUUCAGUCGUGAGGAAGGCGUUGAAGUUAAUAGCUUCAUCGUUUGACGUUAGCGACAGAAGAAGCACCGGCUAACUCCGUGCCAGCAGCCGCGGUAAUACGGAGGGUGCGAGCGUUAAUCGGAAUUACUGGGCGUAAAGCGCAUGCAGGUGGUUUGUUAAGUCAGAUGUGAAAGCCCGGGGCUCAACCUCGGAACCGCAUUUGAAACUGGCAGGCUAGAGUACUGUAGAGGGGGGUAGAAUUUCAGGUGUAGCGGUGAAAUGCGUAGAGAUCUGAAGGAAUACCAGUGGCGAAGGCGGCCCCCUGNACAGAUACUGACACUCAGAUGCGAAAGCGUGGGGAGCAAACAGGAUUAGAUACCCU
This 693-nucleotide ribosomal RNA is filed under the name Vibrio sp. MR05-13. RNAcentral's name for it is "bacterial SSU rRNA". It matches the Rfam family "Bacterial small subunit ribosomal RNA", at positions 99 to 788 of the family's 1533-position model. Lineage: Bacteria; Pseudomonadati; Pseudomonadota; Gammaproteobacteria; Vibrionales; Vibrionaceae. The record is from RNAcentral.